This is a long non-coding RNA of Parasteatoda tepidariorum (common house spider), 507 nucleotides long. RefSeq lists it as uncharacterized. Lineage: Eukaryota; Metazoa; Arthropoda; Arachnida; Araneae; Theridiidae. The record is from RefSeq and is a predicted model, not a curated record.
ACACAUUGAAUACAAGAAAGUUAAGAGCAGCCAUUAGUAAACACAGCAUUUUUUCCAGCUGACAACUCUUCAUAUGGAUGUGGUAUAGACAAUAGAUAGAAAUGUAAGGAUACGCAUGUUUUGGAUAUACCAUUUCUUCAGGCAUGUGAAAUUCCUUUUAGAACAGUAAUAUAAGAAAGUAUCAAAACAGAUUUGGUUGCACUUUUCAGAUUGUCACCGAAAAAUAAAUCAAUGCCAAAAUUAUUGAAGCAUUGCUCCUGUUGAAGAACAGAAUCCUUAUCUCUUAUAAGAGUUAGCUUUACAACUGCAAAUAAGAUGUUUUUUCCUGAUCCUGAUGAUUGCAUCCUGAUUAUAUAAUAUCAUGAUCCUGAUAAUAUCAAAAGCAAAACAUAAUUUCCUGAAAACUGCAGCUUGGCUUGAAAAAUCGAUUUGUAUUCGUGUUCUUAUUAUAACCUGAAUUGUUUCUUUAAUAAUUUUUCCAUAAUCUGAAUUGUUUCAUUAAUCAGU